UUAUAUCUAUUGACGUAAGCUCCCUUUCGUUUUUUUUUUUAAUUUCAGAUUUUAAGUUUUGGAUUUAUGGUGCUUUAUUCAUAAAAAAGGGGGGAUUUUCAACACUUCGGACAAUAACUCAAAAAGCUUUCACCAAUGUCCAUGAAACUUUGGUGAAUUGUUUUAUAUCUAUUGAUGUAAGCUCCCUUUCAAUUUUUAUAAAUUUCAGAUUUUAAGUUUUAGAUUUAUAGGGCUUUAUUCAUAAAAAAAGGGGGAUUUUCAACACUUCAGACAAUAACUCAAAAAGGCUUUCACCAAUGUCAUGGAAACUUUGGUGAAUGUUUAUAUCUAUUGAUGUAAGCUCCCUUUCAAUUUUUAUAAAUUUCAGAUUUUAAGUUUUGGAUUUAUGGGGCUUUAUUCAUAAAAAAAAGGGUGAUUUUUAACACUUCAGAUAAUAACUCAAAAAGGCUUUCACCAAUGUCCAUGAAACUUUGGUGAAUUGUUUAUAUCUAUUGAUGUAAGCUCCCUUUCAAUUUUUAUAAAUUUCAGAUUUUACAUUUCCGUGUUAUGAAUUUUUAUGCUUAAAAAAGGGGGGAUUUUUCCAAUUUUGGGACAAUAACUAACACUUUCACAAAAUUUUAUGUAUGGAUGAAAAAUUAAAGACAACAAACUUAGUUAAAUUUGAGGUAGCCUUAAUAGUGCCAAUUUUUUUGUGCAUUUUUAUUUAUUAUUGGGGGGGGUAUUUGACAGGGCUCACACUAUUUCUAGUUGAUCAUAUAAAUUCAUUUAAAGCAUAAAAGACAAGUUAAAAGAGCAACGGGCGUAUCAUGCGCUAAAGCGCAGCCCUUUAUUUAAUUUAUGCCAGGUCUAUAAAAUCCUCUGAUUUUAUACAUGAAGUUCAUUAAAAAUUUUGCCCAC
This 897-nucleotide long non-coding RNA is filed under the name Mytilus galloprovincialis (Mediterranean mussel). The record is from RNAcentral. Lineage: Eukaryota; Metazoa; Mollusca; Bivalvia; Mytilida; Mytilidae.